GCUCUUGUAGCUCAGCUGGUUAGAGCGUCGUGCUUAUAUUGUAAAAUAUACCUGAGGCACGCGAAGGUCGCGAGUUCGAUCCUCGCCUGGAGCA
This is a non-coding RNA of Rhizopus microsporus, 94 nucleotides long. Lineage: Eukaryota; Fungi; Mucoromycota; Mucoromycetes; Mucorales; Rhizopodaceae. The record is from Rfam.